Molecule: ribosomal RNA, 1441 nt
Filed under: metagenome
Description: bacterial LSU rRNA
Rfam family: Bacterial large subunit ribosomal RNA
Source: RNAcentral
UCGGAGCUUCUAUAAGGAGUGACGGCGUGCCUUUUGCAUAAUGAACCUACGAGUUACUCUUGCCGGCGAGGCUAAGGGCUUCAGGCCCGGAUCCGAAGCGAAAGCGAGUCUGAAUAGGGCGUCAUAGUCAGCAGGAGUAGACGCGAAACCAAGUGAUCUACCCAUGAGCAGGUUGAAGGUUGGGUAACACCAACUGGAGGACCGCACCGGUAAACGUUGAAAAGUUUUCGGAUGACUUGUGGGUAGGGGUGAAAGGCUAAUCAAACUUGGAGAUAGCUCGUACUCCCCGAAAUGCAUUUAGGUGCAGCCUUCUGACUAUAUUUAAGAGGUAGAGCGACUGAUAAGAUGCGAGGGCUUCACCGCCUAUCAAGUCUUGAUAAACUCCGAAUGCUUAAAUAAGAAUCAGAGGAGUGAGGGCAUGGGUGCUAAGGUCCAUGUCCGAGAGGGAAAUAACCCAGACCACCAGCUAAGGUCCCGAAAUAACGGCUAAGUUGAAUUAACGAAGUAGAACUGCAGAGACAGCUAGGAUGUUGGCUUGGAAGCAGCCAUUCAUUUAAAGAGUGCGUAACAGCUCACUAGUCGAGGAGUUCUGCGUGGAUAAUAAUCGGGCAUAAGCCGUUUACCGAAGCUGUGGAAUCGGCAACGAUUGGUAGGGGAGCAUUCCAUGAGCCGCAGAAGGUUUUCCUUGAGGAAUGCUGGAGGUAAUGGAAAAGCAAAUGUAGGUAUAAGUAACGAUAAAGAGGGCGAGAACCCCUCUCGCCGAAAGACCAAGGGUUCCUGAUCAACGCUAAUCGGAUCAGGGUAAGUCGGGCCCUAAGGCCAAGCCGAACGGCGCAGCCGAUGGCAGAAACGGUUAAUAUUCCGUUACUAUGAUACGGAGUGACGAGGAGACGGAGAAGUGACACUCUCGCCUGCUGACGGAAUAGCAGGUUGAACGGAGUAGAUAAUGACAUGGUAGGCAAAUCCGCCGUGGCAGUCGAACCGGAUAGUACUGGGCGCCCCCGGGCAACCAGAUAGCAGAGGUAAUCAGGCUCCCGAGAAAAUCCCCUAAACAUAUGCGUAUCAUACCCGUACCCUAAACGGACACACGUGGUUGAGUAGAAAAUACUAAGGCGCUCGAGCGACUCACGGUUAAGGAACUAGGCAAAUUGACCCUGUAACUUCGGGACAAAGGGUCCCUCCCUGGUGGGAGGGCGCAGAGAAUAGGUCCAGGCAACUGUUUAACAAAAACACAGGGCUGUGCGAAAUUGCAAGAUGAAGUAUACAGCCUGACACCUGCCCGGUGCUGGAAGGUUAAGAGGAGAUGUCAUCGCAAGAGAAGCGUUGAAUUGAAGCCCCAGUAAACGGCGGCCGUAACUAUAACGGUCCUAAGGUAGCGAAAUUCCUUGUCGGGUAAGUUCCGACCUGCACGAAUGGUGUAAUGAUCUGGACACUGUCUCAA